This is a non-coding RNA of Aegilops tauschii subsp. strangulata, 1094 nucleotides long. The record is from RefSeq and is a predicted model, not a curated record. NCBI's taxonomy places the organism in Eukaryota, Viridiplantae, Streptophyta, Magnoliopsida, Poales, Poaceae.
UGACAACAUACAUUGAUGUCGUGUCAAUGUUCUAGAUCUUUUUCUGAUUUUUUUAAAUAUAUUACGGCAUUCGGUGCACCAUAAGUUUUUCUUUGAGACAUAAAAAAAAGUCCAUAAGGACUAGCACGCAGGAAAUAUUUUUAUAGAAGAAACCCACAGGGUGAGAUCGCGAAAAUUCGCUCUUGAUGGGAGUCAAACCCUGGUCUGCGAGGAAACACCACUGUGUCCUUGCCACUGGGCUACAGCCCAGUUUUCUUUUUUCGAGACAUCACAAGUGUGUGCACUGGAUACAUAUUCCCCACAACUAAAGCCUGAUAGAUCCUCUGCCCGGCCCAUACUGGCCCAACAAGUGCCAGCCCGUCGUGGAAGAACUCGCCGUCUACCUCAGUCACUAUACACACGCGCGCCGGAGCGAGGGAGCGCGCAUGUCGCCGGCGGGCUGCGCCGUGCGGCCGGCCCGAUUCCCAUCAGUACCUGGACAGGGCUUACCGCCAACCCGUGGCAAGUCCUCAACGCUGCAGGCCGCACCCGAUUCCGCCGUCGGAGGGGCUCGAUCUCGCCGGUGGACCGCCUCUUCCACAACAAGGUGCGCAGCCGCCAAGUCCAAGCGCGCCUCCAAGUUCAGUUCAUGGCGCACGAACGACGAGGCCGGCCGACGACAGCGACCCCGACCGAGAGACCAGACCAAAUGGGGAGAAGUGAAGACCUGCUGUUAAGGAGACCCAGAAGGCCUGGAAACUCAACCCACAGAAUUUGACCAAUGUGGUUAUUAUUACUUUUGCGAAAUCAUUGUGGCUUAAGUUUGAUCCACUGUGAGCUUGUAUUUCAUUUAAAGCUGCAUAUCUGAACUAAGUUUUUUGUGUGUGUGCGUGUGUGCAGGUUAGCUGAAUCAAGCCAUUAGAGACUGGACAUUGUGUAGGUUAGCAAAAUCAAACUAUCAUAGUAUGUGUUUCUGUUGCUGGAUUUAUAUGGCUAGUAAAUGGCCUGGUAGAAUUGUUUUUUAUUUUCUUUUUGAAGCAAACCUGUAAGGAUUUCUUAUCACAGAGAUUUUUUAUAAAGUAUACACUAGGGCCUACGAGGCAAAAGAAUAAAAA